AUAUAACAUUGAUAUAAGUCCUUUUCCUGCAACAUUCGAGAUUAAAUGGAAUACAUUUCCUAACUCAUUAUUUCAUCUCACUCCAUAAAUGAAAAGGGUUUUAGUGACAUCUGGGCAUCAUAAAAAGUCUAUGAAUAUUUGAUUAUUCUUUUUUUAACUCUUUAAUUAUGUUUUACCCGCUCAGAUUAGGAAGCUAUGUCUCGCGCUCGCAAUCUCGCCAGUUUCACUCACCAGAGGUCUGAAAUCAGUGAGGUGGGGUUCAUAAUGACUUGAUUUUACAACGUGUAUAGCGUCAAACGUUGAACACUUUGAGACUUUUUAUUGUCUGUUGAUUCUACUUGUGUUAAGAAUAUAGUUUCAUAAUUUUGGGUAACUCUGAAAGCCAUUAACUAUUAUGAUUGCUUGGUCUUUCCAUGUUUUAAAAGUAUUUAAAUAAAACCUUUAAAUACAUUUUUCACCCUA
Molecule: non-coding RNA, 462 nt
Organism: Pimephales promelas (fathead minnow)
Lineage: Eukaryota; Metazoa; Chordata; Actinopteri; Cypriniformes; Leuciscidae
Source: RefSeq, a predicted model, not a curated record